This 207-nucleotide long non-coding RNA is filed under the name Elaeis guineensis (African oil palm). Its description in RNAcentral is "long non-coding RNA (EGUI_LNC059675)". Lineage: Eukaryota; Viridiplantae; Streptophyta; Magnoliopsida; Arecales; Arecaceae. The record is from RNAcentral.
CUGGCUAGAUUUGAAACCCAAUGGAUCACACACUUUGAGAUUUAAUCUUGAUCUGAUUUAAUUAAGAUUUAAUAUAAAUCUUAGGGGUUAACUUGAUAUGCUAGCAUAUUGUGUUAACCCAAGUUCCCAAUUAGGUUAAAUUCAAAGUGUUUGAGCUAAACUGAAACUGUUGCCUUUGACCUGAUUGGAUUGGGUCUAUUUUAAUUG